CCUACGGGUGGCAGCAGUGAGGAAUAUUGGUCAAUGGACGCAAGUCUGAACCAGCCAUGCCGCGUGCAGGAUGACGGCUCUAUGAGUUGUAAACUGCUUUUGUACGGGGGUAAACCCCGAUACGUGUAUCGGGUUGAAAGUAUCGUACGAAUAAGGAUCGGCUAACUCCGUGCCAGCAGCCGCGGUAAUACGGAGGAUCCGAGCGUUAUCCGGAUUUAUUGGGUUUAAAGGGUGCGUAGGCGGUUUGAUAAGUUAGAGGUGAAAUGUCGGGGCUCAACCCCGAAAGUGCCUCUAAUACUGGUGUACUAGAGUGUACGUGAGGUAGGCGGAAUGUAUGGUGUAGCGGUGAAAUGCUUAGAGAUCACACAGAACACCGAUUGCGAAGGCAGCUUACCAAACUAUAACUGACGUUGAGGCACGAAAGUGUGGGUAGCAAACAGGAUUAGAUACCCUGGUAGUC
This 460-nucleotide ribosomal RNA is filed under the name uncultured bacterium. RNAcentral describes it as "partial 16S ribosomal RNA". It matches the Rfam family "Bacterial small subunit ribosomal RNA", at positions 338 to 795 of the family's 1533-position model. The record is from RNAcentral.